UGGGUUUAUGUUGGGAGAACU
RNAcentral lists this microRNA (21 nucleotides) under Gorilla gorilla (western gorilla). RNAcentral's name for it is "ggo-miR-629". Its record names the gene ggo-miR-629. The record is from miRBase by way of RNAcentral. Lineage: Eukaryota; Metazoa; Chordata; Mammalia; Primates; Hominidae. RNAcentral also lists the same sequence under 1 other name.